UAGGGAAUCUUCCACAAUGGACGCAAGUCUGAUGGAGCAACGCCGCGUGAGUGAAGAAGGUUUUCGGACCGUAAAGCUCUGUUGUUGGUGAAGAAGGAUAGAGGUAGUAACUGGCCUUUAUUUGACGGUAAUCAACCAGAAAGUCACGGCUAACUACGUGCCAGCAGCCGCGGUAAUACGUAGGUGGCAAGCGUUGUCCGGAUUUAUUGGGCGUAAAGCGAGCGCAGGCGGAAGAAUAAGUCUGAUGUGAAAGCCCUCGGCUUAACCGAGGAAUUGCAUCGGAAACUGUUUUUCUUGAGUGCAGAAGAGGAGAGUAGAACUCCAUGUGUAGCGGUGGAAUGCGUAGAUAUAUGGAAGAAUACCAGUGGCGAAGGCGGCUCUCUGGUCUGCAACUGACGCUGAGGCUCGAAAGCAUGGGUAGCGAACAGGAUUAGAUACCCUGGUAGUCCAUGCCGUAAACGAUGAGUGCUAAGUGUUGGGAGGCUUCCGCCUCUCAGUGCUGCAGCUAAACGCA
This 514-nucleotide ribosomal RNA is filed under the name uncultured bacterium. RNAcentral describes it as "partial 16S ribosomal RNA". It matches the Rfam family "Bacterial small subunit ribosomal RNA", at positions 355 to 859 of the family's 1533-position model. The record is from RNAcentral.